Oryzias latipes (Japanese medaka) is the source of this 2572-nucleotide non-coding RNA. Lineage: Eukaryota; Metazoa; Chordata; Actinopteri; Beloniformes; Adrianichthyidae. The record is from RefSeq and is a predicted model, not a curated record.
CACACACAUAUCCAGCCUCCUCAGGACCGCAGAGACCCCCCCCUCCAGUCUCUCAUCUGCGCCUCAGACGCAGUCAGGAGCUUCACAGAGUCGCUGGGCUCUGGAAAAGCCUGCAGGUCAUCGGGUCAUGUCGCUCCAACGACACCCGUCCGUCCAGAGGGAGGAAACUUCUCCCCCAGCAAAGAGGAAGAGGGGCGACGCGUCACAAAUGGGAUAAAGCUCCGGUGUUUGUUGUAACUGGAGGUUUAGUAGCUCGAUUGAGUUUGGGACGCCGAAGGGCAACGAGAGUCCCAACAGGACAGGCUGUGGUUCCAUCCAGAGGGAGUCGGGGGACGGCUGGGGGGGCCAGACGAGCCAGAGGAAGGAUCCACAGCCAAGGAUGAUCAUUCUUGAGGAUUAUGCAGAUCCUUUUGAUGCUCAGGGGACCAGAGGUCGGCGGGAGGCGGGGCAAGCCGCGAGACGGACACGAAGCCUUAUGACGCACAGCAGAUGACAGCUGGACCGGCUGAAGGUGUCUGUGCAGACAGAGGCCAGCGAAGGAGCCGUGGGAGGAGGUCAGAUCUGCGAGGCUCCUCACGAAAGCGAGAGGAUGGCGCUCACCAGGCCUGAGGUGGAUCCACGUCCUGCUUCGGAGUGCGAGCUGACCUGAGUGGAGGAAGGAGCACGUUGGAAAUCCUGUAUUGUUGACCUCAGCUGCUGGUGAAGUCUGGCUGCGGGUCGCUGGUGUUUCCCCAUCUCAGCUGGAGCUGAUGAAAUCCUCACAUCUAUAUUUCACGAGAUGCACCGACCAAUAAGAUCCUGCCUGAAACAUCAAAGGAGUGUCGUUCUCUCAAACAUCUGCUUCAAAGUCGCUUCUCUCCAUCAUCCAAUGUUUUUCUCUUUUUUCCCCGCAGCACAAUUUGAGAGCUGGACCUAAGAUGAAACGUCUUUGGCACUCACCAUGCCGCCGCCGCCACCGCCGCCGCCGCCGCCGCCGCCGCUGCAUCAGCACCGGCAUCCUCUCCUCACAUCCUUCAUCCACCUUUCACCUCUGCUGCGUGGACCCCUCCCUCCCCCUGGAGAAAAAGAGCUGGUACCACGGUUACCUGACUCGCCAGGAGGCGGAGUUUCUGCUGCAGUCCUGCAAAGAGGCCAGCUUCCUGGUCAGGAGCAGCAGCGCGUUCUCCAUCGCCCUCCAGUGAGUGGGAAGUGCAGCUGCUGUGGGUCAGACUUUUCCCAUUUUGACAUGAACUUCAGUGCAUUUAGUUGGACUUCUGUGUCUUUAAAAAGACAAAAAGGAGAAGCCGCUCCGUCUACUGUUGAAAUGGGAAGGUUUGAAAUGGAUCCCAUCCACCACCGCCACACGGGUUUGCUGUUUUGAAGGUGUACCAGCACACCUGUAGGUCACGCUGUUGCACCAGGCAUCAGGUUCUCGUUGCAGAUGAUGGUCACUGUCAGGGUUCUGACUCUUUAGCUCUUUCACUGAACAAAAAGCAGCAUUUCUGUGAGAGAACCAGAGCAAAAUGCAGCAAAAUGGAGAUGAAAGAACUGCUUUGAGUGUUUCCUAAAUUCUGUUGCUCUGCUUUGGACUUUAUACUUGAAUCAAAUGUUCUUCCUUGGUGGGGCUUCAGCUGGUUUAUUCUGUCUGUUCCACUUUUAAUGCCUGAUUAGUCAUUUAUCUCCAUUUAAAGACUGAAAGUUUGUUUUAAAGGCUUUUGAUCCCGUCAGUUGGCUGGAGAGUGAAGUGUGUUAAAUCUGCCGGCUUGUGUCCUCCUGUGUGUCUCAGGGUUGUGUUCACAUCAUUGUUCCGCAGACAAAGGAGAACGGCUACACCCUGGACCGGAGCAGCUGCCUGUUCCCCAGCAGCAUCCCAGAGGUGGUGUACCAUUACUGCCCCAAGCAUUUGCCCAACACUGGGGCAGAACAGAUGAUCCUGCUGCACCGCUCUCACUUAGGGCGCUGCAGAUGACGCCGGGUUGUGUUUCAGCAGAUCAGUGUGUGUCACAUGGGCUUUUUGCAUUUUUUCCUUGGAUGUUUAGCUGAUGCAAAACGCCGGUGCUGCUGUUUUGCAUGGGAGCACGAGCUCCUUUUUAUCUGUGAUGUAAACGUGAACCUGAGCGGGGGGUCGACCCACAGACGGUCUGCUGGAGUCGUCCACUGAGAAGGAACUGAAAGGUGCUGCUGCUUUUUAUUCUGACAAGAUUCUCAAGAAGGAAAAGAAUGAAAAAUAACGCUCUCUGUCGCCCUCUGGCGGGCAUUCUGGUGCACUGCACCACAGAGCUCUUCAGUCUGGCACCAGUCAAGUGUUUUUGCACAAGAGCACUUCAGACAAUGCGAGCAGCUUCGUGCUCUUUUUCCACUGAACCCACCCCCACUCAGGGAUCUGUGCUGGGAAUGGGGGGGGGGGGGGGUUGUUUGUCGGCUGUGAUUCAGCUCCAUGUUAUGUGUUUGAUGGCUCCACAGUGAGAGGACUGUUUAACAGCACACAUAAAUGGAAACGUCUGCCAAACAACUCAGUCAAAUCUGGACUUUGUUUCCCAAAUAUUUCUGUAAGUUUUUGUUUUCAGAAUAAACAUGGAGUCUUUUUUAGAAA